CAGGCCUAACACAUGCAAGUCGAACGAAGGCUUCGGCCUUAGUGGCGCACGGGUGCGUAACGCGUGGGAAUCUGCCCUUGGGUUCGGAAUAACAGUUAGAAAUGACUGCUAAUACCGGAUGAUGACGUAAGUCCAAAGAUUUAUCGCCCAAGGAUGAGCCCGCGUAGGAUUAGCUAGUUGGUGAGGUAAAGGCUCACCAAGGCGACGAUCAGUAGCUGGUCUGAGAGGAUGAUCAGCCACACUGGGACUGAGACACGGCCCAGACUCCUACGGGAGGCAGCAGUGGGGAAUAUUGGACAAUGGGCGAAAGCCUGAUCCAGCAAUGCCGCGUGAGUGAUGAAGGCCUUAGGGUUGUAAAGCUCUUUUACCCGGGAUGAUAAUGACAGUACCGGGAGAAUAAGCCCCGGCUAACUCCGUG
Molecule: ribosomal RNA, 418 nt
Filed under: uncultured bacterium
Lineage: Bacteria
Description: bacterial SSU rRNA
Rfam family: Bacterial small subunit ribosomal RNA
Source: RNAcentral